RNAcentral lists this small nuclear RNA (187 nucleotides) under Camelus dromedarius (Arabian camel). RNAcentral's name for it is "U2 spliceosomal RNA (ENSCDRG00005001909.1)". It matches the Rfam family "U2 spliceosomal RNA". From Rfam's summary of the family: U2 is a small nuclear RNA (snRNA) component of the spliceosome (involved in pre-mRNA splicing). Complementary binding between U2 snRNA (in an area lying towards the 5' end but 3' to hairpin I) and the branchpoint sequence (BPS) of the intron results the bulging out of an unpaired adenosine, on the BPS, which initiates a nucleophilic attack at the intronic 5' splice site, thus starting the first of two transesterification reactions that mediate splicing. The record is from Rfam by way of RNAcentral. Lineage: Eukaryota; Metazoa; Chordata; Mammalia; Artiodactyla; Camelidae.
AUCGCUUCUGGCCUUUGGUGAGAUCGAGUGUAGUGUUUUGUUCUUAUCAGUUUAAUACUGCUACUUCACCUAUCCCGGGACAAUCUAUUAAAUGGAUUUUGGGAGCAGGGAGUUGGAAUAGGAGCCUUGUUCCAUCCAUGUCACACUCGACCUGGUAUUCAGAAUGUCCAAGAACAGUGCACCUUCU